RNAcentral lists this ribosomal RNA (253 nucleotides) under uncultured bacterium. Its description in RNAcentral is "partial 16S ribosomal RNA". It matches the Rfam family "Bacterial small subunit ribosomal RNA", at positions 524 to 776 of the family's 1533-position model. The record is from RNAcentral.
UACGAAGGGUGCAAGCGUUACUCGGAAUUACUGGGCGUAAAGCGUGCGUAGGUGGUUCGUUAAGUCUGUCGUGAAAGCCCCGGGCUCAACCUGGGAAUGGCGAUGGAAACUGGCGGGCUAGAGUGCGGUAGAGGGCGGUGGAAUUCCCGGUGUAGCAGUGAAAUGCGUAGAGAUCGGGAGGAACAUCAGUGGCGAAGGCGGCCGCCUGGACCAGCACUGACACUGAGGCACGAAAGCGUGGGGAGCAAACAGG